Molecule: ribosomal RNA, 274 nt
Filed under: uncultured bacterium
Lineage: Bacteria
Description: partial 16S ribosomal RNA
Rfam family: Bacterial small subunit ribosomal RNA
Source: RNAcentral
AUACAGAGGGCGCGAGCGUUAAUCGGAAUUACUGGGCGUAAAGCGCGCGUAGGCGGCUUAUUAAGUCAGAUGUGAAAUCCCCGGGCUCAACCUGGGAACUGCAUCUGAUACUGGUAAGCUAGAGUUUUGGAGAGGGAAGUAGAAUUUCAGGUGUAGCGGUGAAAUGCAUAGAGAUCUGAAGGAAUACCAGUGGCGAAGGCGACUUCCUGGCCAAAAACUGACGCUGAGGUGCGAAAGCGUGGGUAGCAAACGGGAUUAGAUACCCUAGUAGUCC